Gossypium arboreum is the source of this 119-nucleotide ribosomal RNA. The record is from Rfam. Lineage: Eukaryota; Viridiplantae; Streptophyta; Magnoliopsida; Malvales; Malvaceae.
GGGUGCGAUCAUACCAGCACUAAUGCACCGGAUCCCAUCAGAACUCCGCAAUUAAGCGUGCUUGGGCGAGAGUAGUACUAGGAUGGGUGACCUCCUGGGAAGUCCUCGUGUUGCACCCC